Molecule: long non-coding RNA, 2549 nt
Filed under: Nicotiana benthamiana
Lineage: Eukaryota; Viridiplantae; Streptophyta; Magnoliopsida; Solanales; Solanaceae
Description: long non-coding RNA (NBEN_LNC025212)
Source: RNAcentral
CAUAGUUACCCACCCCUUUUCACUAGCCGGGCCCAAAUAUUCAUUACAACUUUUUACAAACCAAAAAUAAUAAAUUACAUCAAAAGUGUAAAGAAAAUACAACCAGAUGAAGCUUGAUUCUGACUUCUUGUCUGAAUUAGGAGAUAGACCAGCUCAAAAACCACUGAUCCAAAGCCUUUCUCCAAUUUGAGUGUGUCAGAGUUCCCUAAGAGCCUAAAUGGGACUUUGGGCAGUGCUCACACCCAAAUUGUAUUACCAGAAUAAGGACAAGUGCAGUGUGGAAGGGCCAACCCUCGAGUGUCCAAGUUUAGAGGGAGCUCAAUGGGUCCCAAGGCAAGGCUCAGAAGGGGGACAAAACUUAAAGUCUAAGAGAGAGUGCACGUGAAGAAACAGAAUUUUAAAGAACUAAGAAAGUAAAGAAGAGGGAGGAGAUGUUAGGAAACAGCCAUAAACAAGUCAUACAAAAGGUUCAGGGAUUGGGGAAAUUUCUAAAGAGCCUAUACUUGGCAUAGGAAAGAAUUGGGCAUGCACAAAAAUGGAGAUGUUAGCAUGCCUAUAAGCCUGCCAGAAAAUAUAACAACAAAGUUCAUAGAGGUUAGGAUCCCAGGGAUCAAGCUUGAGUCAUGGCCAGUAAUAUUCAGUACUGUCAUGCCUCCAGCAAACCAUAGCAUCACACGCAUUGGGGUGUUUGGGAUUCAUAAUUGGAGGAAAUUAUAGCAUGCUAAAGUAAACCCUGAACUAAACACAAACAGUAGGCAGACAUGCAAGCGAAGGUAUUAAGUAAACACAUUAUUUGUGAUUGCUGAAAAUCUUAAUCAAGACAUACCAGUUUCAAAGAGCAAGAUACUGUAAAAGCAAGUAGCAGGACUUGAAGGCAAUCCACAGUACAAGUAACAAAAGAGAAUAGUUUUGAGUGUGAGCGAGAGUUCAGAAACUAAGAGUGUUCGUGUGUUCUGUGUCAAUGCAAAAGCCAGGUAUUUAUAGUGUGAAAACAGGUAGAAAAUAAGGUAAGAAAAUAAUUAUGGAACUAUGUAGCAAUUAAAAAUCAAUUAGUAUAGGAACUUCCUUUAAUUAAGGAGUUUAAACUUAAACGGUAAUGGGCAGAAAACUUUUAAGUAAAGAAAUCAAGUAAGCAUCUUGUGCAAAGUAGGCAAUUAGGGGUGAAUACAUAGAGGUUUAACUAAGGGAAGAAUUAAUGAAGAAUAUUUAAAAUACACGGUUAACAUAAUAAGGUGAGAAACAGAAUAAACCAACCAAUACAUAGUAAAUCAAGGAGUCAACUAUUUUAAAUUAUAAAUAAACCAAGUCAAAAAUAGGAGAAUCAAAAGGCUAAGGGAAAGUUCUCAAAUCAACCCAAGAAUCAGGGAAAUCAGUAAAUAAGGAAGAAUCAAUCAGACUUAUACAAGGAGGCCUGAAACCAGUCACAAAUUCAAGGUCAUUUUAGAGGGAAACUCAGCAUAUAAAGAGUUUAUAAGUAUUAAGUAGGAAAGGCUGAAUUUAGGACAAAAAGAAACAUCAUAUAGCAGCAAACACAAGUAGUCACAUAGGUCGAUUUUGGUUACUCAAUAACAGAGGGGAGAAAGUAUCAAAUAGCAUGUAAAAGGGUCAAGUAAAGGACCUGAUAGAGUUUAGCAGGAAGUUAGAAUCCUAUAAAGAAACAAAAGAUUCAAAAAUUUAAUCUAGCAGUAGAUGAAACACAUUUCAGAAACUCGAAUAGGUUCGAAGAAAUAUGGGCUUUGAAACCAAACAAGUUCGAAGAUGAAGAACAAGCAAAUCAAAUAGCAAAUAGUCUCAAAACUCGAAUGAAUCCCCAAAUUUAGGGCUUUCCCCGUCAAUCGAGUGUAGAGAUGAAAACAAGUAAAUCAGGCAAAAAUACUAAUAAAAUAAGUUCAAAAAUCUCAAAAAAGAACUAAGACAUUUAACAUGCAUAUUCCAGUAGAAGAAUAACACCAAGAAACACAGUAAAAGAGCAACACAGUAGAACAACAACAUAAGAAACAUAGUAAGAAACACAGUAGACAUGUUUAAAAAAUUUUGAAGAGUUUCGAGAUAAAGUAACAAAAACCCCUAAAUUAGAAAAGAUAAAGGUUCUGAAAGUAGAAUUUUGAAAGAAACCAUGAGAAAAUGCUUAGGAGCUCAGAGAAAACACAGAUCUACAACGGAUCUAGAAGAAUCAGAAAAACCUCUAAGGUUAGGGUUUCAUAAGAACCAAAAUAGUGAGAAAGGCUUGGAAGGUCAUUGAGCUAAACAAGAGAAACCAAGAGCAAGCUUGAAUAGCCAUGGAGAGCCGGAGCAAGGUCGGAGAUGACAGAAAAUAGCUAUUGAAUUGAAAGCACCUGAGGUCUAGACCAAGCUUCUUCAAGGUCUGGCCUUGAAACUAUGAUAAUCGAGCAUGUAUGAGUUAUAUGAGGUAGGUACAGGCCUUUAAUGGCAGUGGAAGCUAUGAUGCAGACGAUUUGGGUGGUGGUUGAAGAUGGCAGCUAGGGUUUGAGAGGGAGAUUGAGAGAGAACUAGAAAGGGGAGAUUCAAAGACAGCUACCUGUGAGAAG